AAUGAACGUUGGCGGCGUGGAUUAGGCAUGCAAGUCGAGCGGGUGUAGCAAUACACCAGCGGCGAAAGGGAGAGUAACGCGUAGUUUAUGUACCCCGAGGUCCGGAAUAGCCAUGGGAAACUGUGGGUAACGCCGGAUAAUAUCUUCGGAUCAAAGGUGUGAUUCCACCUUGGGAGCAGACUGCGUUGUACUAGCUUGUUGGUAGGGUAAUGGCCUACCAAGGCUACGAUGCAUACCGGGCGUGAGAGCGUGGCCCGGCUCACUGGGACUGAGACACUGCCCAGACACCUACGGGUGGCUGCAGUCGAGAAUCUUCGGCAAUGAGCGCAAGCUUGACCGAGCGACGCCGCGUGCGGGAUGAAGGCCUUCGGGUUGUAAACCGCUUUCGGUUGGGAGGAAAUCGCUAGGGGUUCUCCCCUAGUGUUGACCUAUCUUCGGAAGAAGGACGGGCUAAGUUCGUGCCAGCAGCCGCGGUAAUACGAACCGUCCAAACGUUAUUCGGAUUUAUUGGGCUUAAAGGGUACGUAGGCGGCCCUGUCAGUCGGGUGUGAAAUCCCUCGGCUCAACCGAGGAACUGCGCCCGAUACUGCAGGGCUUGAGGGAGACAGAGGUAAGCGGAACUGAUGGUGGAGCGGUGAAAUGCGUUGAUAUCAUCAGGAACACCGGUGGCGAAAGCGGCUUACUGGGUCUCUUCUGACGCUG
Molecule: ribosomal RNA, 702 nt
Filed under: uncultured Planctomycetales bacterium
Lineage: Bacteria; Pseudomonadati; Planctomycetota; Planctomycetia; Planctomycetales
Description: bacterial SSU rRNA
Rfam family: Bacterial small subunit ribosomal RNA
Source: RNAcentral